This 1331-nucleotide ribosomal RNA is filed under the name Lacticaseibacillus paracasei. RNAcentral's name for it is "partial 23S ribosomal RNA". It matches the Rfam family "Bacterial large subunit ribosomal RNA", at positions 659 to 1995 of the family's 2925-position model. Lineage: Bacteria; Bacillati; Bacillota; Bacilli; Lactobacillales; Lactobacillaceae. The record is from RNAcentral.
GACGGAGCCGUAGGGAAACCGAGUCUUAAUAGGGCGAUUUAGUAUCAUGUUGUAGACCCGAAACCAUGUGACCUACCCAUGAGCAGGUUGAAGGUGAGGUAAAACUCACUGGAGGACCGAACCAGGGCACGUUGAAAAGUGCUUGGAUGACUUGUGGGUAGCGGAGAAAUUCCAAACGAACUUGGAGAUAGCUGGUUCUCUCCGAAAUAGCUUUAGGGCUAGCGUCGAUGUUAAGUCUCUUGGAGGUAGAGCACUGUUUGGGUGAGGGGUCCAUCUCGGAUUACCAAUCUCAGAUAAACUCCGAAUGCCAACGAGAUAUCAUCGGCAGUCAGACUGCGAGUGCUAAGAUCCGUAGUCGAAAGGGAAACAGCCCAGACCACCAGCUAAGGUCCCAAAAUAACUGUUAAGUGGAAAAGGAUGUGGGGUUGCACAGACAACUAGGAUGUUAGCUUAGAAGCAGCUAUUCAUUCAAAGAGUGCGUAAUAGCUCACUAGUCGAGUGACCCUGCGCCGAAAAUGUACCGGGGCUAAAACAGUUUACCGAAGCUGUGGAUGACACAAAAGUGUCAUGGUAGGAGAGCGUUCUAUGUGUGAAGAAGGUGUACCGUGAGGAGCGCUGGAACGCAUAGAAGUGAGAAUGCCGGUAUGAGUAGCGCAAGACAGGUGAGAAUCCUGUCCACCGUAAGACUAAGGUUUCCAGGGGAAGGCUCGUCCGCCCUGGGUUAGUCGGGACCUAAGGAGAGACCGAAAGGUGUAUCCGAUGGCCAACAGGUUGAUAUUCCUGUACUAGAGUAUAUAGUGAUGGAGGGACGCAGUAGGCUAACUAAACCGGACGAUUGGAAGAGUCCGGCUAAGCAGUGAGGUGUAAGAUGAGUCAAAUGCUUAUCUUUAUAACAUUGAGCUGUGAUGGGGAGCGAAUUUUAGUAGCGAAGUUAGUGAUGUCACACUGCCAAGAAAAGCUUCUAGCGUUUAAUGAUACUCUACCCGUACCGCAAACCGACACAGGUAGUCGAGGCGAGUAGCCUCAGGUGAUCGAGAGAACUCUCGUUAAGGAACUCGGCAAAAUGACCCCGUAACUUCGGGAGAAGGGGUGCUGACUUAGGUCAGCCGCAGUGAAUAGGCCCAAGCAACUGUUUAUCAAAAACACAGCUCUCUGCUAAAUCGUAAGAUGAUGUAUAGGGGGUGACGCCUGCCCGGUGCUGGAAGGUUAAGAGGAGGGUUUAGCGCAAGCGAGGAUCGGAAUUGAAGCCCCAGUAAACGGCGGCCGUAACUAUAACGGUCCUAAGGCCUGCCUCUUAUACACAUCUCCGAGCCCACGAGACUCAAGGAUAA